This 1451-nucleotide long non-coding RNA is filed under the name Strigops habroptila (Kakapo). RNAcentral describes it as "lncRNA (ENSSHBG00005016022.1)". Lineage: Eukaryota; Metazoa; Chordata; Aves; Psittaciformes; Psittacidae. The record is from RNAcentral.
UUUUCUUUUUCAUUUUCCAGGGCAAGCAAAUCUAUUUCUUAUUACAGCCUGUACUUAUAGUUUAAUUCUAUCUUAUGACUUAAAGACUAAACUAUUUGAGAACCACUAAGAUUUUUCCAACUAUUAAAAGGGGAAAAAUACAAAACUCAAAACAGAUGUUUUAUAAUGUAUUUCAUUUAUUUUGGCCACCCAUAAAGUUGUGGCUUAUGUUAGUGCCAACCAAGUUAAAAGCAACAGAGUUCUGCAGAAAGACUAUGCAGGGGGAGCACCUUUCAAUAAAUCUCUAUUUAUUAAGUCAUUUUCAAUGUUAGAAAAAGCAAACAGGAAUUACUGAAGAUACAAGUGUUGCUGGUGUACUUGGGUAGUUUCUUGGGGGAUUUUCAAAGUUAAUGCAGCAUUUUUGUGUUAUUGUAGCCCAAUGCUUAGCUUGGAAAGCAGAUGAUCAAAGUAUGCAUUGAAAAUGGAUGAGUUUGCUGAAAUUAGAACCGAAGAUAAUAUCCUUAGAACAAUAUCAUGUAAAUAACAGAUACUUUAUAUCAAACAGUUAUUCCAGAGACUUAACAGUUGAAGAAGUUCCAACAAAUUAAAACUAUCUUAUCCAAACAAUCAUCAGACUUGGGAUAGCACAAACCUUUCACUUUUUUCUAAGUUUAUGAAUGGAAACAAAGACAUUUCAAAAGUUAAACCCAUGAGACUCCUAACAGUUGCUGUGGUACUUACUGAUAAGGUAUCUUGUGGAAAUUACAGUAAAAGUAGUAAUAUUGAAAUUUCCCCUGCACCUAUUCUUAUUUAAACUGAGAAGUCAUUUCUCAGUAAGAGACUCACUUUAGCAGAAGACCAGCACAGUACUGCAGGGACAAAAUGAGCAAUAAAGAAUGGUUGGUCUCAAAACAUUUUUUAUUGACAAUUUACUGUAUAGAACUCAGGGUAUAUAAUGUGGAUAUAAUUUACUAAUCUGCCAAAAAAAUAUAUAGGAAAAGCAUAUGGAAAUGAUAAUGUAUGUAUUUAAGGAAGAAAGAACAGCAUUAAAAGUUUUAGCUUGUAUUUUUUGGCUUGCUAUCCACAUAUUCAAAGAAAAUAUAUUUUUCACCUUCCUCCUCAGAAGUGGCACAGAAAGUGAACUGCAAAAGUUGAUUAGAAAGUAAUAAAAUGUGAAAGCUUAGUAAUUCAGUACAGCAAAGAGCAGUACAGACUUUAACCACAUACAUAGAAGAGACUGUUAGAAUGUGAGCUUUUAAUGCAAAAGACUUUUUCAAUCGCAUAGCCAAAAAACAUUUUGACCUAAUAAAUAAAUAUGAAGUUCAAUAUUAUCAAACCAAGUGCAAAUACAGAAAACUCACUUUAAUUCAGAGGCAUGCUUAAAGCACUUUGAAAGCAAAAUAUCCUUUACAAUUAUUUCUCCAGGUAAAACAGUUAUAAUUAUCAUUAUCUGGCAAUUGCCAGUGCUUUUC